AAACGAGAAAUGCCUCCCAACCCCAUUUCCCACGUAUCGGCACACGACUCGUAACAAGGAAGGGAACCCCUCCUCUAACUUGCUUCUCUUCUCUUUUAUUCAUCCUAUAUCCCGCUGUGACUAAAAACCAGAGUCCAUGGCUUCUGCAGUCCCAAUGCAAAGGAUGUUUGUCACAGCACUCUUCUAUUUUUCAGGUCAAAAGGUAUGGGCUUUUAACCGAAUCCAUAGCCUUUUUAUAGGCAGAUGUUUACAGUGCUGAUCAGAUUCCAUGGUUGGACAAUCGACGAUUCGACAUGUCAUGUUUGGACAUCUUAUUGAUGGAAUAGAUGUUGU
Molecule: long non-coding RNA, 333 nt
Organism: Juglans regia (Persian walnut)
Lineage: Eukaryota; Viridiplantae; Streptophyta; Magnoliopsida; Fagales; Juglandaceae
Exons: 3
Source: RefSeq, a predicted model, not a curated record